UACGUAGGGUGCAAGCGUUGUCCGGAAUUAUUGGGCGUAAAGGGCUCGUAGGCGGUCCAUCACGUCGGGAGUGAAAAGCUGGGGCUUAACCCUGAGCUUGCAGUGGGUACGGGCAGACUAGAGUGCGGUAGGGGAGACUGGAAUUCCUGGUGUAGCGGUGAAAUGCGCAGAUAUCAGGAAGAACACCUAUGGCGAAGGCAGCUCUCUGGGACGGUACUGACGCUGAGACGCGAAAGCGUGGGGAGCGAACAGG
RNAcentral lists this ribosomal RNA (253 nucleotides) under uncultured bacterium. Its description in RNAcentral is "partial 16S ribosomal RNA". It matches the Rfam family "Bacterial small subunit ribosomal RNA", at positions 524 to 776 of the family's 1533-position model. The record is from RNAcentral.